AUACGGAGGGUGCAAGCGUUGUUCGGAAUUAUUGGGCGUAAAGCGGGCGCAGGCGGUCGUAUAAGUCGGAUGUGAAAUCCCUGGGCUCAACCCAGGAACUGCAUUCGAAACUAUACGACUAGAGUCUCGGAGAGGGUGGCGGAAUUCCCGGUGUAGAGGUGAAAUUCGUAGAUAUCGGGAGGAACACCAGUGGCGAAGGCGGCCACCUGGACGAUGACUGACGCUCAGGUCCGAAAGCGUGGGGAGCAAACAGGAUUAGAAACCCUAGUAGUCC
RNAcentral lists this ribosomal RNA (274 nucleotides) under uncultured bacterium. RNAcentral describes it as "partial 16S ribosomal RNA". It matches the Rfam family "Bacterial small subunit ribosomal RNA", at positions 523 to 796 of the family's 1533-position model. The record is from RNAcentral.